GACGAACCGUGCAAACGUUGUUCGGAAUCGCUGGGCUUAAAGGGCGCGUAGGCGGGCAAGCAAGUCGAAGGUGAAAUCCCACGGCUCAACCGUGGAAGUGCCCCCGAUACUGCUUGUCUUGAGGGAGAUAGGGGCGUGCGGAACUUCCGGUGGAGCGGUGAAAUGCGUAGAUAUCGGAAGGAACAUCAGUGGCGAAAGCGACUUCCUGGACCAAUACUGACGCUCAUGUGCGAAAGCGUGGGGAGCAAACAGG
Molecule: ribosomal RNA, 253 nt
Filed under: uncultured bacterium
Lineage: Bacteria
Description: partial 16S ribosomal RNA
Rfam family: Bacterial small subunit ribosomal RNA
Source: RNAcentral